RNAcentral lists this ribosomal RNA (1204 nucleotides) under metagenome. RNAcentral describes it as "bacterial SSU rRNA". It matches the Rfam family "Bacterial small subunit ribosomal RNA", at positions 299 to 1520 of the family's 1533-position model. The record is from RNAcentral.
GGUGAUCGGCCACAUUGGGACUGAGACACGGCCCAAACUCCUACGGGAGGCAGCAGUGGGAAUAUUGGGCAAUGGAGGAAACUCUGACCCAGCAACGCCGCGUGGAGGAAGAAGGUUUUCGGAUCGUAAACUCCUGUCCUUGGAGACGAGUAGAAGACGGUAUCCAAGGAGGAAGCCCCGGCUAACUACGUGCCAGCAGCCGCGGUAAUACGUAGGGGGCAAGCGUUGUCCGGAAUAAUUGGGCGUAAAGGGCGCGUAGGCGGCUCGGUAAGUCUGGAGUGAAAGUCCUGCUUUUAAGGUGGGAAUUGCUUUGGAUACUGUCGGGCUUGAGUGCAGGAGAGGUUAGUGGAAUUCCCAGUGUAGCGGUGAAAUGCGUAGAGAUUGGGAGGAACACCAGUGGCGAAGGCGACUAACUGGACUGUAACUGACGCUGAGGCGCGAAAGUGUGGGGAGCAAACAGGAUUAGAUACCCUGGUAGUCCACACUGUAAACGAUGAAUGCUAGGUGUAGGGGGUAUCGACCCCUUCUGUGCCGCAGUCAACACAAUAAGCAUUCCGCCUGGGGAGUACGGCCGCAAGGUUGAAACUCAAAGGAAUUGACGGGGGCCCGCACAACAGCGGAGCAUGUGGUUUAAUUCGACGCAACGCGAAGAACCUUACCAGGUCUUGACAUCCACUUAAACUUACAGAGAUGUAAGGUGUGCUUGCACAAAGUGAGACAGGUGGUGCAUGGUUGUCGUCAGCUCGUGUCGUGAGAUGUUGGGUUAAGUCCCGCAACGAGCGCAACCCUUAUCUUCAGUUACUAACGCGUGAGGGUGAGGACUCUGAAGAGACUGCCGGGGACAACUCGGAGGAAGGUGGGGACGACGUCAAAUCAUCAUGCCCCUUAUGACCUGGGCUACACACGUGCUACAAUGGCCACGACAGAGAGAAGCGAAAUCGCAAGGUAGAGCGGAACUCAAAAAAGUGGUCCCAGUUCGGAUUGUGGGCUGCAACCCGCCCACAUGAAGUCGGAGUUGCUAGUAAUCGCGGAUCAGCAUGCCGCGGUGAAUACGUUCCCGGGCCUUGUACACACCGCCCGUCACACCAUGGGAGUUGGGAGUGCCCAAAGCCGGUGAGGCAACCGCAAGGAGCCAGCCGUCUAAGGCAAGACCAAUGACUGGGGUGAAGUCGGAACAAGGUAGCCGUAUCGGAAGGUGCGGCUG